This 1528-nucleotide ribosomal RNA is filed under the name Klebsiella pneumoniae BIDMC 52. Its description in RNAcentral is "bacterial SSU rRNA". It matches the Rfam family "Bacterial small subunit ribosomal RNA". The record is from RNAcentral. Lineage: Bacteria; Pseudomonadati; Pseudomonadota; Gammaproteobacteria; Enterobacterales; Enterobacteriaceae.
AGAGUUUGAUCAUGGCUCAGAUUGAACGCUGGCGGCAGGCCUAACACAUGCAAGUCGAGCGGUAGCACAGAGAGCUUGCUCUCGGGUGACGAGCGGCGGACGGGUGAGUAAUGUCUGGGAAGCUGCCUGAUGGAGGGGGAUAACUACUGGAAACGGUAGCUAAUACCGCAUAACGUCGCAAGACCAAAGUGGGGGACCUUCGGGCCUCAUGCCAUCAGAUGUGCCCAGAUGGGAUUAGCUAGUAGGUGGGGUAACGGCUCACCUAGGCGACGAUCCCUAGCUGGUCUGAGAGGAUGACCAGCCACACUGGAACUGAGACACGGUCCAGACUCCUACGGGAGGCAGCAGUGGGGAAUAUUGCACAAUGGGCGCAAGCCUGAUGCAGCCAUGCCGCGUGUGUGAAGAAGGCCUUCGGGUUGUAAAGCACUUUCAGCGGGGAGGAAGGCGUUAAGGUUAAUAACCUUGGCGAUUGACGUUACCCGCAGAAGAAGCACCGGCUAACUCCGUGCCAGCAGCCGCGGUAAUACGGAGGGUGCAAGCGUUAAUCGGAAUUACUGGGCGUAAAGCGCACGCAGGCGGUCUGUCAAGUCGGAUGUGAAAUCCCCGGGCUCAACCUGGGAACUGCAUUCGAAACUGGCAGGCUAGAGUCUUGUAGAGGGGGGUAGAAUUCCAGGUGUAGCGGUGAAAUGCGUAGAGAUCUGGAGGAAUACCGGUGGCGAAGGCGGCCCCCUGGACAAAGACUGACGCUCAGGUGCGAAAGCGUGGGGAGCAAACAGGAUUAGAUACCCUGGUAGUCCACGCCGUAAACGAUGUCGAUUUGGAGGUUGUGCCCUUGAGGCGUGGCUUCCGGAGCUAACGCGUUAAAUCGACCGCCUGGGGAGUACGGCCGCAAGGUUAAAACUCAAAUGAAUUGACGGGGGCCCGCACAAGCGGUGGAGCAUGUGGUUUAAUUCGAUGCAACGCGAAGAACCUUACCUGGUCUUGACAUCCACAGAACUUUCCAGAGAUGGAUUGGUGCCUUCGGGAACUGUGAGACAGGUGCUGCAUGGCUGUCGUCAGCUCGUGUUGUGAAAUGUUGGGUUAAGUCCCGCAACGAGCGCAACCCUUAUCCUUUGUUGCCAGCGGUUCGGCCGGGAACUCAAAGGAGACUGCCAGUGAUAAACUGGAGGAAGGUGGGGAUGACGUCAAGUCAUCAUGGCCCUUACGACCAGGGCUACACACGUGCUACAAUGGCAUAUACAAAGAGAAGCGACCUCGCGAGAGCAAGCGGACCUCAUAAAGUAUGUCGUAGUCCGGAUUGGAGUCUGCAACUCGACUCCAUGAAGUCGGAAUCGCUAGUAAUCGUAGAUCAGAAUGCUACGGUGAAUACGUUCCCGGGCCUUGUACACACCGCCCGUCACACCAUGGGAGUGGGUUGCAAAAGAAGUAGGUAGCUUAACCUUCGGGAGGGCGCUUACCACUUUGUGAUUCAUGACUGGGGUGAAGUCGUAACAAGGUAACCGUAGGGGAACCUGCGGUUGGAUCACCU